Molecule: ribosomal RNA, 1343 nt
Filed under: uncultured bacterium
Lineage: Bacteria
Description: 16S ribosomal RNA
Rfam family: Bacterial small subunit ribosomal RNA
Source: RNAcentral
GACGAACGCUGGCGGCGUGCUUAACACAUGCAAGUCGAACGGAAAGGCCCUGCUUUUGUGGGGUGCUCGAGUGGCGAACGGGUGAGUAACACGUGAGUAACCUGCCCUUGACUUUGGGAUAACUUCAGGAAACUGGGGCUAAUACCGGAUAGGAGCUCCUGCUGCAUGGUGGGGGUUGGAAAGUUUCGGCGGUUGGGGAUGGACUCGCGGCUUAUCAGCUUGUUGGUGGGGUAGUGGCUUACCAAGGCUUUGACGGGUAGCCGGCCUGAGAGGGUGACCGGCCACAUUGGGACUGAGAUACGGCCCAGACUCCUACGGGAGGCAGCAGUGGGGAAUAUUGCACAAUGGGCGGAAGCCUGAUGCAGCAACGCCGCGUGCGGGAUGACGGCCUUCGGGUUGUAAACCGCUUUCGCCUGUGACGAAGCGUGAGUGACGGUAAUGGGUAAAGAAGCACCGGCUAACUACGUGCCAGCAGCCGCGGUGAUACGUAGGGUGCGAGCGUUGUCCGGAUUUAUUGGGCGUAAGGGGCUCGUAGGUGGUUGAUCGCGUCGGAAGUGUAAUCUUGGGGCUUAACCCUGAGCGUGCUUUCGAUACGGGUUGACUUGAGGAAGGUAGGGGAGAAUGGAAUUCCUGGUGGAGCGGUGGAAUGCGCAGAUAUCAGGAGGAACACCAGUGGCGAAGGCGGUUCUCUGGGCCUUUCCUGACGCUGAGGAGCGAAAGCGUGGGGAGCGAACAGGCUUAGAUACCCUGGUAGUCCACGCUGUAAACGGUGGGUACUAGGUGUGGGGUCCAUUCCACGGGUUCCGUGCCGUAGCUAACGCUUUAAGUACCCCGCCUGGGGAGUACGGCCGCAAGGCUAAAACUCAAAGGAAUUGACGGGGCCCCGCACAAGCGGCGGAGCAUGCGGAUUAAUUCGAUGCAACGCGUAGAACCUUACCUGGGUUUGACAUGGAUCGGGAGCGCUCAGAGAUGGGUGUGCCUCUUUUGGGGUCGGUUCACAGGUGGUGCAUGGCUGUCGUCAGCUCGUGUCGUGAGAUGUUGGGUUAAGUCCCGCAACGAGCGCAACCCUUGUUCACUGUUGCCAGCACGUUAUGGUGGGGACUCAGUGGAGACCGCCGGGGUCAACUCGGAGGAAGGUGGGGAUGACGUCAAGUCAUCAUGCCCCUUAUGUCCAGGGCUUCACGCAUGCUACAAUGGCUGGUACAGAGAGUGGCGAGCCUGUGAGGGUGAGCGAAUCUCGGAAAGCCGGUCUCAGUUCGGAUUGGGGUCUGCAACUCGACCUCAUGAAGUCGGAGUCGCUAGUAAUCGCAGAUCAGCAACGCUGCGGUGAAUACGUUCCCGGG